ACCGAGCCACGACACCACCCGACAACCAAUGCCACCCUCAACCUGAAGAAUAGGGAGGAAGAAGCACAAACAUGCACACAGCAAGCAAGAAGGCACAGAACAUGCACACAGCCAGCAGUCAGCAGAGACUUCGUAGGCGGCGCCUACAGGUAGGGUACGACGUCAUUGCCGCCGCCGCCAUUCUGGUAGAAACUAGAACUGGGUUUUCACCCGGAGAGAUUCGGUGGUUGCAGGGUAAAGAGAUCCAAGACGACGACGCCUCCAAGAAGGUGAGCGACGCCCAAGGGCGCGACCGUCGUCAGCACCGACAGGUCGUCGUGCGCGGCUUUCGCCUGAGGCUCCCUCAACCCCAACCACAGACUGGAUCAGCUAACCAAGAC
This 380-nucleotide long non-coding RNA is filed under the name Setaria viridis. RNAcentral's name for it is "long non-coding RNA (SVIR_LNC002140)". Lineage: Eukaryota; Viridiplantae; Streptophyta; Magnoliopsida; Poales; Poaceae. The record is from RNAcentral.